This 53-nucleotide ribosomal RNA is filed under the name Ophiostoma quercus. Its description in RNAcentral is "partial 28S ribosomal RNA". Lineage: Eukaryota; Fungi; Ascomycota; Sordariomycetes; Ophiostomatales; Ophiostomataceae. The record is from RNAcentral.
UUGACCUCGGAUCAGGUAGGAUUACCCGCUGAACUUAAGCAUAUCAAUAAGCG